UGAUGAUGGAGAAGAUGAUGAUGAUGAUGGUGAGGAUGAUGAAAAAAAUAAUCAUCAUCUUCGUCGUCGUCGUCGUCGUCAUACAAA
RNAcentral lists this microRNA precursor (87 nucleotides) under Pediculus humanus corporis (human body louse). RNAcentral's name for it is "microRNA mir-598". Lineage: Eukaryota; Metazoa; Arthropoda; Insecta; Psocodea; Pediculidae. The record is from RNAcentral.